RNAcentral lists this non-coding RNA (31 nucleotides) under Mus musculus (house mouse). The record is from RNAcentral. Lineage: Eukaryota; Metazoa; Chordata; Mammalia; Rodentia; Muridae.
UGAAUGAAAUUCAGUUCUUGUGGGUAUACAC